Long non-coding RNA from Neofelis nebulosa (Clouded leopard), 6701 nucleotides. RefSeq lists it as uncharacterized. NCBI's taxonomy places the organism in Eukaryota, Metazoa, Chordata, Mammalia, Carnivora, Felidae. The transcript is spliced from 3 exons. The record is from RefSeq and is a predicted model, not a curated record.
UGGAUGAUGGAAUGGAAUGCUUCCCGGUGGUGACAAAUCUCAUGUACCUGUAGGAGGCAGACCGUAGACCGAGGGGUCAAGGGCACCGUCAUCGCCUGUCCACGCGGCCGGGCCCUCCACGGCCCCUCCUCCCCUUCUCAUCUCAGGCUUUCCCCACUCGGGACCCUCGUCUUGUCCUUCAGGGGAGACCAGCUGUGGCUUUGGAGGGUGAGGCCCUAACUUGCUGGAAGGCAAUGGAUUUAGGCAACGAGGGACGUACUGGGCAUCCUGACUGGGCGCCGAGGAGUCUAUGGAUUGUUCCGGAGCUGGUGACUCUGAGAGGAUAGGUCCGAGCAUUUGCUUAGAGGAUUUGUCUUUGGGGUCAUUGGGAACAUCUCUGCAAACUUUGGUAACAGACUCGACUGCCAGGGAGAACGAUGGCAGGAGCACGCCAUUUUCCAGUGGAGAGCACAUAAUGGGGAACCCAAAGACCGACCGUCAUGGUGACCGUGCUUCAGACAGAAUGCCUGAUGUUUCCAUCCUGGCUGAACGCCUUUCUCACUCUUCCUAAGUCCUUUGGUCUGCCCCUCCCCCCUUCUCUGGGCAGCUAACUCUACAUACCAUUAAAUGUGAGCGAUUCCAACUCUCGGCCCCCCACGCCAAAUCCUAUAACCCACCCACCAACCACUGAUGAGCUGCCUCUUCUCCUUCCAGUGCAGAGUCCAGCUGACCCCUGCCCCAUGCUCUGCACAGCCUUUCUGGAGAAUUCUAUCUUCUGUAGUGUCAGCUUUGUAUUUUCCACCCUGUUUAUUAAUGCGCUUGUAUCCUAAAAACACAACCACCCAGCACUCAAUCCUACUUAUUUGAUCCUCAACAAAAUACUAGCAAAUGGAUUCCAGGAACACAUUAAAAGGAUCAUAAACCAUGAUCAAGUGGGAUUCACCCCAGGAUGCAAGGAUCGUUCAACACAGGCAAAUCAAUAAAUGUGACGCACCACAUAAACUGAAUGAAGGAUAAAUCAUAUGAUCAUUUCGGUAAAUGGAGAAAAAGCAUUUGACAAAAUUCAACGUCCUCUCAUGAUAAAAACUCCCAACAAAUUAGUAUAAGAAGGAAUCUUGGUCAGCAUAAGGGCCACAUAUGACAAGCCAUAGCUAACAUCAUACUGAGUAGUGAAAGGUUAAAACCUUCUCCCUCUAAGAUCAAGAACAAGAACUCUCAUCAUCUCUUUUCAACAUAGUACAGAGAGUCCUAGCCAUAGCAAUUAGGCAAGAAAAAGAAUUAAAAGCAUAAAAAUUGGGAAGGAAGAAGUGAAAUUGCCUCCGUUUGCAGGUGAUAUCAUCUUAUAUACGGAAAGCCCUAAAGAUUCCAAAAAACUGUUAGAACUAAUAAAUGAAUUCAGUAAAAUCGCAGGAUAUAAAAUCAACAGAGAAAUUAGUUGCAUUACUACCCAUUACCAACAAACUGUCUGAAAGAGAAAUCACGAAAGCAGUCCUAUCUACGAUAGCAUCAAAGAUAACAAAAUACUUAGGACUAAAUUUCAACAAGGAGAUAAAAGACCUGUACACUAAAAAAUAUACAAAGUUGGUGGAAGACCGUGAGGAAGACAGAAGUAACUGGAAAGACUUCCUGUCUUCUUGGAUUAGAAGAAUAUUGUGAAAAAUUCUUUCUACAGAAAAAUCUAUAAUACAAUCCUAAUCAAAAUCCCCAUGGCAUUUUUCACAGAAAUAGAAAAAAUAUUCUAAAAUUUGUAUGGAAAUACAAAAGACCCCAAAUAGCCAGAGCAAUUCUGAAAAAGGAGAUCAAAGCUGGAGGCAUCAUACUCCCUGAUUUGAAGGUAUCUUACAAAGUUGUAGUAGUAAAAACAAUAGGGUUCUGGCAUAAAAACAGGCACAUAGACCAGUGGAACAGAACAGAGCCCAGGCACAAACCCAGACGUAUGUGGUCAACUAAUUUUUUUUUUUUUUUGUCAACUCAUUUUUGACAAGGGUGCCAGGAACACAGACUGGGGGAAAGAACAGUCUCCUCAACAAAUGAAGCUGGGAAAACUGGGUCUCCACAUGCAAAAUAAUGAAAUUGGAUCCCUAUCUUACACCACUCACAAAAGUUAAGUAAAAAUGGACCUACAAACGUGUGGCCAACUAAUCUUUGACAAAGCAGGAAAGAAUAUCCGAUGGAAAAAAGACAGUCUCCUCAGCAAGUGGUGCUGGGAAAACUGGACAGUGAUAAGAAGAAGAAUGAGCCCGGACCACUUUCUCACACCAUACACAAAAAGACACUCAAAAUGGAUGAAAGACCUAAAUGUGAGGCAGGAAGCCAUCAAAAUCCUAGAGGAGAAAACAGGCAACAACCUUUUUGACCUUGGCCACGGCAGCUUCUUACUACGCAUUCCUCUGAAGGCAAGGGAAAUAAAAGCAAAAAUGAACUAUUGGGACCUCAUCAAGAUAAAAAGCUUCUGCACAAGGAAGGAAACAAUCAACAAAACUAAAAGGUAACGGACGGAAUGGGAGAAGAUAUUGGCAAACGACAAAUCAGAUAAAGGGUUAGUAUCUAAAAUCUAUAAAGAACUUAUCAAACUCAACACCCAAAAAACAAAUAAUCCAGUGAGGAAAUGGGCAGAAGACAUGAAUAGACAUUUUCCCAAAGAAGACAUCCAGAUGGCUAACAGACACAGGAGAAAAUGCUCAAUAUCACUCAUCAUCAGGGAAAUACAAAUCAAAACCACACUGAGAUACCACCUCACACCUGUCAGAAUGACUAAAACCAACAACUCAGGCAACAGCAGACGUUGGCGAGGGUGUGGAGAAAGGGAUCUCUUUUGCACUGCUGGUGGGAAUGCAAGCUGGUGCAGCCACUCUGGAAAACGGUAUGGAGGUUCCUCAAAAAACUAAAAGUAGAACUACCCUAUGACCCAGAAAUUGCACUACUAGAUAUUUAUCCAGAGGUUACAAAAAUGCUGAUUCAAAGGAGAUGCACCCCAAUGUUUAUAGCUGCACUAUCGACAGUAGCCAAAUUAUGGGAAGAGCCCAAAUGUCCAUCGACUGAUGAAUGGAUAAAGAAGACAUGGUGUGUGUGUGUGUGUGUGUGUGUGUGUGUGUGUGUAAUGGAAUAUUACUCAGCGAUCAAAAAGAAUGAAAUCUUGCCAUUUGCAACAACGUGGAUGGAGCUAGAGUGUAUUAUGUUAAGCAAAAUAAGUCAGAGAAAGACAAAUAUAUGAUUUCACUCAUCGGAAUUUAAGAAACACAAUGGAUGCACAUCGGGGAAGAAAAAAUAAGGUAAAAAACAGGGAGGCAGACCAUAAGAGACUCUUAAAUACAGAGAACAAACUGAGGGUUGCUGGAGGGGAGAUGGGUGGGGGUAUGGGCUAAAUGGGUUGAUGGACAUUAAGGAGGGCACUUGCUGGGACGAGCACUGGGUUUUAUAUGUAAGUGACAAAUCACUAAAUUAUAUUCUUGAAUCCAAUACUAUACUGUAUGUUAACUAAUUUAAAUUUUAAAAAGUCAAGUAGAAAUGAUUCAAAGAUUUAAAUAAAAUCUGGAACAAUAAAACUUCUAGAAGAAAACAUGGAAAAAGAUCCUUGACAUUGGUCUUGGCAAUGAUUUCUUGGAUAGGACACCAGAGCACAUUCAACAAAAGCUAAAACAAACAAGCGGGACUAGAUUCCUUCUGCACAGCAAAGGAAACAAUUGAUAAACUGGAAAAGCAACUUACAGAAUGGGAGAAGAUAUUCACAAGCCAUCUAUCUGACAAGGAGUUCAAUCCAAAGUAUAUAAAGCACUCACUCAUCCAACUCAACAGCCAAAAAAUCAAUCCGAUUAAAAAAUGGGCGAAGGGGGUGCCUGGACAUUUUCCCAAGGAAGAUACACAAUGGCCAACGGGUACCUGGAGGGUGCUCAACAUCAGUAGUCAUCAGGGAAAUGCAAACCCAACCCCAAGGAGAGAUCACCUCACACCUGCGGAUGAAGGUUGGUUCAUGAAGGUUGGAGGAUGGUUAUUACCGAGGGGACAGAUGAUGACAAACGUUGGGGAGAAUGUGGAGAAAAGGAAACCCUGAUACACUGUUGCCGGGAAUUUCAGAUGGUUCGGUCGUUAUGGAAGACAGUACUGUAGCUCCUUAAAACUUAAACACUGAACUCUCACACGACCUGGCAAGGCCACCCCGGGUCACCUAUACGCAGGAAAAGGGAUCAGUGCUUUGAAGAGAGGUCUGCAUUCCCACGUUCCCUGCUGCUUUAUUCACAACAGCGCAGAUGUGGAAGCAACCCAAGCGUCUCUCCGUGCGUGACCGGAAGAGGAAAACGUGGCGUGUGCACACACAAUCGGGUGUCACUCGGCCAUAAAAAAAGAAGGAAGUCCUGCCGUUUGCAACAACACGGAUGAGCCCGCAGGGCAUUCUGCCGAGUGAAAUAAGCCAGACGGAGAAACCUAAAAACUGGAUCCCUCACGUGUGGAAUCUAAGACAGAAAAGCCCGUUUCGUAGAGACUGAGACUAGGACAGUGGUGGCUGGGGCGGGGGCGGGGGCAACGGGGGUGAUGUUGUCAAGGGGCACAGAUCUUACAAGAAUAAAAGUGGAAGCUGUGCCCGGAGGCCCUUUUAGGUCCUCAGAUGUUCUGUGUCCACAGGAGGCUGUGGUCAUCUGCCCUCAGACAGCUCUCCGCCCGCCGUCCGUGUGGCACUCCACACAGCCAGUGGCACUCCUGGCCACCCGGACCACCAAGCCGGACAUUUCCACCCGGCCAGCUCUAGCCCGGGUCACUCUGGCAGGGGUGCCGACUCAGCCGUGGGUGGCUGUACUGCUAGCGACCCACGGGGGGCCACGUUCUCUCAGCCUGACCUUGAACUCAUGUACAUCCCGGACCUGUCACAAGUUAGCCGCUCUGCCCCUCAGUUCCCGUGUCCGCGGACUCAGCACCUCAACCUUCUGUGCCGGCGUGCGCACAGUUGUCGCUUUCUGGGACUCUGGGUUUUGUGGGCAGGUUUUGUUUUUGUUUUUUUACUUUGAAAUACAAUUUAGAUAGCAUAAAAUUCACUCCAGUGCUUUUUAGUAUAUUCAUCACCUUGUGGAACCAUCACCACAAUCAUUUUUAGAACAUUUUCAUCACUCGAAGACAAAACCCACAUACCCCUGACAGUCAGCCGCUAGUCCCCAGCAUCCUCAGCCCCGGGCGUCGGCUCAUCUACCGCCCAGCUCGGCCGAGUUUCCUAUUCCGGACGUUUCAUGGAAGUGAGAUGACAUGUGGCCUUUCGGACUGCCUUCUUUCAGUUCCCAUAAUGUUUUGGGGGGUCAUUCAGGCUGUAGCGUGUCUAUACUUCAGUCCUGUUGAUGGGUGAAUAAUGUUCCUCGGUAUAGACGUGCUCGUGUGUAUCACGUCUGUGUACCUACCGUGUUCUGUCUGUCCAUUCGUCAGGAACGCUGGCGUGGUUUCUGUCUUACGAACAAUGCCGCCGUGAACAUUCGUGGCAAGUUUUGGUGUGACAAGGUUUGAAUUGCCCUUGGGUAUAUACCUGGGAGUAGGAGUGCUGGGUCAGAUGGGGACUGUUUACCUUUCUGAGGCGUUCACAGACUGUUUUCCAGGGCGGCCACACCGUUUUACAUUCCCAUCAAGCACGCAAAGCCUCCAGCCUCACAUGACUGCAGUGUUCGUUAUCACCUGCCCUUUGGAUUCUACUCUCCCUGGUGGGUGUGAAAUUGUAUCUCGCUAUGGUUUCGAUUCACAGUUUCCUGAUGACAAAUGAUGUUAAGCAUCUUUUUGAUGUGCCUAUGUAGGUUUUUUAGUUAGAGAGAGAGAGAGAGAGAGAGAACGAGUUGGGGCCAGGGUGGGGGGAGAGAGAAUCCCAAGCAGGCUCCGCACCGUCAGCACAGAGCCCAGUGCAGGGCUUUGAACCCACGAACCAUGAGAUCGUGACCUGAGCCGAAAUCAAGACGCUCAAGUGACUGAGCCCCCCAGGUGCCCCUCUAUACAGAUUUUAAAUCUGGUGUAGGAUCCAGGGUUUGAGGGAGGCUGGUACUAACUAUAAAGGGAGAAUUAAACUUCAGGAGCAACGGUUUUGUGUUCAACACCGUGUUACCUUUUCGACAAUCCUGCUCGCCUCCUACCCCACGCUGCCAGAACUUCACGGCUGAUUUUAUUCUUGUUCUAAUAAACUUCGUGUUUCUAUGAUUUGGUUUUCUGAUUAAGCCUAUGGCCCGGGAGUCAUUCAUCUUUCUGUUUUGCCUUUUUUUUUUUUUUUUUUAAUUUAAAAGUGCCAUUCAGUUUUUUCCUAUACAGUCUCAUCAUCUAAAUAUGGAGAUCUAGAAAGGACAAGGCAAAAAUAGAAAUCACGCAGAAUUGUGUCACCCAGAGCAAAUUUGUAUGUUCUCUUCCAGCUCUCUCUCCAUAUAUAGCUUUGUACACAGUUGGUUCUCUGUGUAGUGAAGUCACCACGAACACUGCAUUAGUGGGCGCUGAACUAUUGUUCCUGUUUACAUUUUUGUCACAUAGUAAAGUGUUUGAAGACAUCUUGAUGGUAUUGAUGCGUUAAGACCGGACUCACGGCCAAAAGCACUAGAACUCACGAGUGAGCAAAGCGGAUCUGACACAGGUAUUUUCUCCAUAAAGCACAUCACAGCCUUCUGGGCAGGGACUCCACACGGCACUUCAGCAUUGCCGUUGCAAGCAGCAAAACCACCAACCAAAAGCACAAACAUGAAAGCUGUGGCACCAGACAGAGCGCGAAGAGAGCA